Molecule: ribosomal RNA, 274 nt
Filed under: uncultured bacterium
Lineage: Bacteria
Description: partial small subunit ribosomal RNA
Rfam family: Bacterial small subunit ribosomal RNA
Source: RNAcentral
AGAAUCAACGCUGGCGGCGUGCCUCAGACAUGCAAGUCGAACGCGAAAGUCCCCUUCGGGGGACAAGUAGAGUGGCGCACGGGUGAGUAACACGUAGGUAAUCUACCUUUGGAUGGGGGAAUAACAACCGGAAACGGUUGCUAAUACCGCAUAAUGCAGCGGCACCUAAUGGUGACAGUUGUUAAAGCGGGGGAUCGAAAGACCUCGCGUCUGAAGAGGAGCCUGCGGCGGAUUAGCUAGUUGGUAAGGUAAUGGCUUACCAAGGCUACGAUCC